Molecule: ribosomal RNA, 250 nt
Filed under: uncultured bacterium
Lineage: Bacteria
Description: partial 16S ribosomal RNA
Rfam family: Bacterial small subunit ribosomal RNA
Source: RNAcentral
UACGGAGGGAGCUAGCGUUGUUCGGAAUCACUGGGCGUAAAGCGCACGUAGGCGGCUUUGUAAGUUAGAGGUGAAAGCCCGGGGCUCAACUCCGGAACUGCCUUUAAGACUGCAUCGCUUGAAUCUGGGAGAGGUGAGUGGAAUUCCGAGUGUAGAGGUGAAAUUCGUAGAUAUUCGGAAGAACACCAGUGGCGAAGGCGGCUCACUGGACCAGAAUUGACGCUGAGGUGCGAAAGCGUGGGGAGCAAAC